This 232-nucleotide small RNA is filed under the name Arabidopsis thaliana (thale cress). RNAcentral's name for it is "ATSL005720". Lineage: Eukaryota; Viridiplantae; Streptophyta; Magnoliopsida; Brassicales; Brassicaceae. The record is from RNAcentral.
AACAAGUAAGAAACUGUUCAAUAUUCAAAUCGGAAGGGUGAAGAAGAGAGUUGAAGAUUGUAUUUACUAUUGCUAACGAACAAACACAUUACAAUUUUAUCAUAAUAUUUCAAGAUCCUUUAAGUAUGAUUCUCCUAAUCGCAUGUUCACAUUUACCAAGUGAUUUGAAACAAGGCAGUCUGCGGCCAAUGUGAUUUUGGUCAGUCUAUUUGUUCUUCUCCAUGACGCCUGC